Molecule: long non-coding RNA, 211 nt
Organism: Melitaea cinxia (Glanville fritillary)
Lineage: Eukaryota; Metazoa; Arthropoda; Insecta; Lepidoptera; Nymphalidae
Exons: 2
Source: RefSeq, a predicted model, not a curated record
UCCACCUCACCGCGUCGGGCUGCGCGCGCGCCUCGCUCGAACAUAAAUACAAUAAAAUAUGGAAAUGGCGAGUCAGUCCGUGACAGGUGCGCGGCCGCGGCGUUCGUGCACGUGUACUGUUAGUGAGUGCGCUAGCGCUGCCGCUUUCUCUGCAACCCUUGGCACCGAUGUUCUUAUGGAAGAAUAAAUAUAUGGGCAAUAUAUUGAAAAA